CUACGGGAGGCUGCAGUAAGGAAUAUUGGUCAAUGGGCGAAAGCCUGAACCAGCCAUGCCGCGUGAGUGAAGACGGCCUUCGGGUUGUAAAACUCUUUUCUAAGGGAAGAACCAGCAGGACAGGAAAUGGUCCCGCUCUGACGGUACCUUAGGAAUAAGGAACGGCUAACUCCGUGCCAGCAGCCGCGGUAAUACGGAGGUUCCAAGCGUUGUUCGGAUUUACUGGGCGUAAAGGGAGCGCAGGCGGAAGGGUCAGUCUGAAGUGGAAUCCCGGGGCUCAACCUCGGACGUGCUUUGGAUACUGCCCUUCUUGAGUCCGUGAGAGGAAAGCGGAAUUCAGGGUGUAGCGGUGAAAUGCUUAGAUAUCCUGAGGAACACCAAUGGCGAAAGCAGCUUUCUGGCACGUGACUGACGCUGAGGCUCGAAAGCGUGGGGAGCGAAUGGGAUUAGAUACCCGCGUAGUC
Molecule: ribosomal RNA, 464 nt
Filed under: uncultured bacterium
Lineage: Bacteria
Description: partial 16S ribosomal RNA
Rfam family: Bacterial small subunit ribosomal RNA
Source: RNAcentral